RNAcentral lists this ribosomal RNA (388 nucleotides) under Gephyrocapsa sp. Its description in RNAcentral is "partial small subunit ribosomal RNA". It matches the Rfam family "Eukaryotic small subunit ribosomal RNA", at positions 582 to 975 of the family's 1831-position model. Lineage: Eukaryota; Haptophyta; Isochrysidales; Noelaerhabdaceae. The record is from RNAcentral.
AUUCCAGCUCCAAUGGCGUAUAUUAAAGUUGUUGCAGUUAAAACGUUCGUAGUCGGAUUUCGGGGCGGGCCGACCGGUCUGCCGAUGGGUAUACACUGGCCGGCGCGUCCUUCCACCCGGAGACCGCGCCUACUCUUAACUGAGCGGGCGCGGGAGACGGGUCUUUUACUUUGAAAAAAUCAGAGUGUUUCAAGCAGGCAGUCGCUCUUGCAUGGAUUAGCAUGGGAUAAUGAAAUAGGACUCUGGUGCUAUUUUGUUGGUUUCGAACACCGGAGUAAUGAUUAACAGGGACAGUCAGGGGCACUCGUAUUCCGCCGAGAGAGGUGAAAUUCUCAGACCAGCGGAAGACGAACCACUGCGAAAGCAUUUGCCAGGGAUGUUUUCAUUA